GUGGGGAAUCUUGCGCAAUGGGCGAAAGCCUGACGCAGCAACGCCGCGUGGGGGAUGAAGGCUCUCGGGUUGUAAACCCCUUUCAGCAGGGACGAAUCAAGACGGUACCUGCAGAAGAAGCCCCGGCUAACUACGUGCCAGCAGCCGCGGUAACACGUAGGGGGCAAGCGUUGUCCGGAUUUAUUGGGCGUAAAGAGCGCGUAGGUGGCUGAGUAAGUCGGAUGUCAAAUCCCCAGGCUCAACCUGGGAUCCCAUCCGAUACUGCUCUGGCUAGAGUCCGGUAGGGGAGCGUGGAAUUCCUGGUGUAGCGGUGAAAUGCGCAGAUAUCAGGAGGAACACCAGCGGCGAAGGCGGCGCUCUGGGCCGGUACUGACACUGAGGAGCGAAAGCGUGGGUAGCAAACAGGAUUAGAAACCCCUGUAGUCC
Molecule: ribosomal RNA, 426 nt
Filed under: uncultured bacterium
Lineage: Bacteria
Description: partial 16S ribosomal RNA
Rfam family: Bacterial small subunit ribosomal RNA
Source: RNAcentral